CAUGCAGUCGUACGCUUUUUCUUUCACCGGAGCUUGCUCCACCGAAAGAAAAGGAGUGGCGAACGGGUGAGUAACACGUGGGUAACCUACCCAUCAGAAGGGGAUAACACUUGGAAACAGGUGCUAAUACCGUAUAACAAUCGAAACCGCAUGGUUUUGAUUUGAAAGGCGCUUUCGGGUGUCGCUGAUGGAUGGACCCGCGGUGCAUUAGCUAGUUGGUGAGGUAACGGCUCACCAAGGCCACGAUGCAUAGCCGACCUGAGAGGGUGAUCGGCCACAUUGGGACUGAGACACGGCCCAAACUCCUACGGGAGGCAGCAGUAGGGAAUCUUCGGCAAUGGACGAAAGUCUGACCGAGCAACGCCGCGUGAGUGAAGAAGGUUUUCGGAUCGUAAAACUCUGUUGUUAGAGAAGAACAAGGAUGAGAGUAACUGUUCAUCCCUUGACGGUAUCUAACCAGAAAGCCACGGCUAACUACGUGCCAGCAGCCGCGGUAAUACGUAGGUGGCAAGCGUUGUCCGGAUUUAUUGGGCGUAAAGCGAGCGCAGGCGGUUUCUUAAGUCUGAUGUGAAAGCCCCCGGCUCAACCGGGGAGGGUCAUUGGAAACUGGGAGACUUGAGUGCAGAAGAGGAGAGUGGAAUUCCAUGUGUAGCGGUGAAAUGCGUAGAUAUAUGGAGGAACACCAGUGGCGAAGGCGACUCUCUGGUCUGUAACUGACGCUGAGGCUCGAAAGCGUGGGGAGCAAACAGGAUUAGAUACCCUGGUAGUCCACGCCGUAAACGAUGAGUGCUAAGUGUUGGAGGGUUUCCGCCCUUCAGUGCUGCAGCUAACGCAUUAAGCACUCCGCCUGGGGAGUACGACCGCAAGUGAAG
This 872-nucleotide ribosomal RNA is filed under the name Enterococcus faecium. Its description in RNAcentral is "bacterial SSU rRNA". It matches the Rfam family "Bacterial small subunit ribosomal RNA", at positions 54 to 899 of the family's 1533-position model. Lineage: Bacteria; Bacillati; Bacillota; Bacilli; Lactobacillales; Enterococcaceae. The record is from RNAcentral.